RNAcentral lists this transfer RNA (56 nucleotides) under Karaftohelix adamsi. RNAcentral's name for it is "tRNA-Gln". Lineage: Eukaryota; Metazoa; Mollusca; Gastropoda; Stylommatophora; Camaenidae. The record is from RNAcentral.
UCCAUUUGGUGUCUUAGCACGGGAAAAUUUGGGUUUCCAAGAAAAAGUAAUGGGAG